GGUCGAUUAGCUCAGCUGGGAGAGCACCUCCCUUACAAGGAGGGGAUCACUGGUUCGAGCCCAGUAUCGACCACCA
RNAcentral lists this transfer RNA (76 nucleotides) under Shewanella youngdeokensis. RNAcentral describes it as "Shewanella sp. DAU334 tRNA-Val". It matches the Rfam family "tRNA". Rfam says of the family: Transfer RNA (tRNA) molecules are approximately 80 nucleotides in length. Their secondary structure includes four short double-helical elements and three loops (D, anti-codon, and T loops). The record is from RNAcentral. Lineage: Bacteria; Pseudomonadati; Pseudomonadota; Gammaproteobacteria; Alteromonadales; Shewanellaceae.